AUCGGUGACAGGUGGUGCAUGGUUGUCGUCAGCUCGUGUCGUGAGAUGUUGGGUUAAGUCCCGCAACGAGCGCAACCCCUAUUGUUAGUUGCCAUCAUUCAGUUGGGCACUCUAGCGAGACUGCCGGUAAUAAACCGGAGGAAGGUGGGGAUGACGUCAAAUCAUCAUGCCCCUUAUGACCUGGGCUACACACGUGCUACAAUGGUUGGUACAACGAGUUGCGAGUCGGUGACGGCGAGCUAAUCUCUUAAAGCCAAUCUCAGUUCGGAUUGUAGGCUGCAACUCGCCUACAUGAAGUCGGAAUCGCUAGUAAUCGCGGAUCAGCACGCCGCGGUCGAAUACGUUCCCGGGCCUU
This 355-nucleotide ribosomal RNA is filed under the name uncultured Streptococcus sp. RNAcentral describes it as "bacterial SSU rRNA". It matches the Rfam family "Bacterial small subunit ribosomal RNA", at positions 1027 to 1382 of the family's 1533-position model. Lineage: Bacteria; Bacillati; Bacillota; Bacilli; Lactobacillales; Streptococcaceae. The record is from RNAcentral.